CCACCAAGGCUACGAUCCGUAGCUGGUCUGAGAGGACGAUCAGCCACACUGGAACUGAGACACGGUCCAGACUCCUACGGGAGGCAGCAGUGGGGAAUUUUGGACAAUGGGCGCAAGCAUGAUCCAGCCAUGCCGCGUGAGUGAAGAAGGCCUUCGGGUUGUAAAGCUCUUUCGGUGGGGACGAAAAGGUUUGUGCUAAUACCACGAACUAAUGACGGUACCCGAAGAAGAAGCACCGGCUAACUACGUGCCAGCAGCCGCGGUAAUACGUAGGGUGCAGGCGUUAAUCGGAAUUACUGGGCGUAAAGCGUGCGCAGGCGGUUUGUUAAGACAGAUGUGAAAUCCCCGGGCUUAACCUGGGAACUGCGUUUGCAACUGGCAAGCUAGAGUGUGGCAGAGGGGGGUGGAAUUCCAAGUGUAGCAGUGAAAUGCGUAGAUUUUUGGAGGAACACCGAUGGCGAAGGCAGCCCCCUCGACUCACAAUG
This 485-nucleotide ribosomal RNA is filed under the name uncultured bacterium. RNAcentral's name for it is "bacterial SSU rRNA". It matches the Rfam family "Bacterial small subunit ribosomal RNA", at positions 265 to 742 of the family's 1533-position model. The record is from RNAcentral.